Molecule: ribosomal RNA, 389 nt
Filed under: uncultured Propionicicella sp.
Lineage: Bacteria; Bacillati; Actinomycetota; Actinomycetes; Propionibacteriales; Nocardioidaceae
Description: bacterial SSU rRNA
Rfam family: Bacterial small subunit ribosomal RNA
Source: RNAcentral
GUGCCAGCCGCGGCGGUGAUACGUAGGGUGCGAGCGUUGUCCGGAAUUAUUGGGCGUAAAGAGCUCGUAGGCGGUUGAUCGCGUCGAAAGUGAAAACUCAGGGCUUAACCCUGAGCCUGCUUUCGAUACGGGUCGACUAGAGGAAGGUAGGGGAGAAUGGAAUUCCUGGUGGAGCGGUGGAAUGCGCAGAUAUCAGGAGGAACACCAGUGGCGAAGGCGGUUCUCUGGACCUUUCCUGACGCUGAGGAGCGAAAGCGUGGGAGCAAACAGGCUUAGAUACCCUGGUAGUCCACGCCGUAAACGGUGGGUACUAGGUGUGGGGACAGUUCCACGUUCUCCGUGCCGUAGCUAACGCAUUAAGCCCCGCCUGGGAGUACGGCCGCAAGGCU